UACGUAGGGGGCGAGCGUUGUCCGAAGUUACUGGGCGUAAAGCGCGCGUAGGCGGGUCGUUAAGUGGGAAGUGAAAGGCUGGGGCUCAACCCCAUGCAGUGCUUCUCAUACUGGCGGGCUUGAGUGAGGUAGGGAGAAGUGGGAUGGCUGGUGUAGCGGUGAAAUGCGUAGAUAUCAUUUGGAACGCCAAUGGUGAAAACAGGUAGCUGGGGCUGUGCUGACGCUGAGACACGAAAGCCAGGGGAGCGAACGGG
RNAcentral lists this ribosomal RNA (254 nucleotides) under uncultured bacterium. Its description in RNAcentral is "partial 16S ribosomal RNA". It matches the Rfam family "Bacterial small subunit ribosomal RNA", at positions 524 to 776 of the family's 1533-position model. The record is from RNAcentral.